This 444-nucleotide long non-coding RNA is filed under the name Sorghum bicolor (sorghum). RNAcentral's name for it is "long non-coding RNA (SBIC_LNC004390)". The record is from RNAcentral. Lineage: Eukaryota; Viridiplantae; Streptophyta; Magnoliopsida; Poales; Poaceae.
GGAUCUUAUAUUGAUUGUGUUUCUUCUGCUUCUUGUUGUUUGAGUGUAAGUCAUAGAACCUGUUUUAUGCGAGGAAGACUCUGGGUCCCAUCCAAACUAGCUGGCUAAACCCGAGACCGUCCCGAGACUAGAUAAGUGACCCUGGCUAACAGAGUUGAAAAAGGGUGUAAAGCUGAUGCAUCUUGUUUUACCCAACCAUUUCAAAAAUGUUUUCAGUUUCCAACUGAGCUUGUCUGCAAAACUAUCCCUCUUUUUGGUUGGAAGACUCCCCUCUUUAAAAAAACAUCUUGGUUUCAAAAGGAAAAGUGUUUCAAAACUCUCUCAAUAUCUUUCCUUUUCACAAAGAAAGCAAUUUUAAUCCCUUUUCUCAACUCAACUUUGUUCAAGCUAUAUUUAUGAAACGGUUUAAAACAAGUCAAUUUGCAAAAGGUAUGACAUAAUCGC